Non-coding RNA from Dermacentor andersoni, 1346 nucleotides. The record is from RefSeq and is a predicted model, not a curated record. NCBI's taxonomy places the organism in Eukaryota, Metazoa, Arthropoda, Arachnida, Ixodida, Ixodidae.
CUGACAAUCUUCAAAAGAAAAUUGAAUGGAUUGCCUACAAUUCGUCAUCUCAGACAAUGUACCCAAAUAAAUUGUGCAAUGUUGCUGCAAGGAGCCUCGUAAACCAAUACCCAGCACUGAGGGACACAUUGCACCUUGGCCAUUUCUCAUGGUAUAUGUGCCUAAGAAACAAGUACAAAAACAUGCGAAAGUGAAUGCCACCAGGAUGCUCUGAAGUCGAUGCAGAAGUGAAAGCAAGAAAGGCAAGCGAAAUUGUGACACAUGCUCAAAAUCUGGAUUUUGAAGACGGGUGAUCAGCUGCAAGUUUGCAUGCAUAUUUCACUAGAUAAACUGACUCUCCUUUCUUUGUUAUGUGGCUUAGUUGAAACAUUUAGUUGCUUCUCUUGAUGUACUUGUUCGUUUCAUUUACAUUUUUUCUUUAAAAAAUGCAAACAUGCAAUCCAGCUAUAGCAACUAUAUCUGCAAUGCUGUCACCAGAGAUUUUGUAGGUGAUCAAAGAACCAAAAUAUCAUAUCGCAUCGCCACCUUGAACCUAGAGUGAAACAUUAGUUCAAGAUGUAGUGGUAGGUGCAUUUAUAGACUAGUAAUGCAGCAUUCAUACUGUAAUGUAUAUUGAUAUACAUGCUAAGAUGUAGCGAAAAGUGUGUGGCUAUGCUGCUCUGACACUUCAGUUGUUUUAACCUUUCAUUGAUGAGUUCUGCAUACAGCAUACCAAAAAAUUAUAAUUUUUCUUGCUGAUUUUUGGCAUUGAGUAAGAAGUUUCUUGUUAAAUGUAUUGAGCCAACACUGAAUGACUGGCAGCUAGUGUCAUUUGUCGGUUUAGAGCAGAAACACAGGAUGGGAAAAAAAGACAUGGGACUCGUUUUCUUUGGAAAGCACGGUCAGGGGAGACAGACCAGUGCAAGAUCUGCUGUAGUGACCUCAGACACACAAUGCAAAGAGCUCUCUGUAUAGAUUCCAAACGCAGCCAUAUGUCGCUUGGGGAGAAGCCCACUUCUUCCCCUAUACUAUAAAGGAGUUUCUACAAAAUAUCCUUUAUUUUUGUUGAUUAUGCUUAUUCUCAAUGUCUUUUGCACAUUUAGGAAAAUAAUUUGUUUUGUAUUUAUAUGCGUGGCCAUUAAAGGGUUAGACAAAUAAAGUGGUUCCAAUGAAUGUGAAUGUAUAACUUUAGCGACUCUAGUCGCAAUGUGUUGAUCAUUCCACAAUCUUUGUGAGAGCACGAAACAGGAACUAGGCAGCAUGAAAAUCACUCAGCAGUACCAAGAAGGAAGCUUCAGCACUUAUACAGUACUGCAGAAUACACUUCUAUGCUGUACCUGUGGUGUCCUUUUUAUUAUGUGGUCUUG